CGCCAGACUCCUACGGGAGGCAGCAGUGGGGAAUAUUGCACAAUGGGGGAAACCCUGAUGCAGCGACGCCGCGUGAGUGAAGAAGUAUUUCGGUAUGUAAAGCUCUAUCAGCAGGGAAGAAAAUGACGGUACCUGACUAAGAAGCCCCGGCUAACUACGUGCCAGCAGCCGCGGUAAUACGUAGGGGGCAAGCGUUAUCCGGAUUUACUGGGUGUAAAGGGAGCGUAGACGGCAGCGCAAGUCUGGAGUGAAAUGCCGGGGCCCAACCCCGGAACUGCUUUGGAAACUGUGCAGCUCGAGUGCAGGAGAGGUAAGCGGAAUUCCUAGUGUAGCGGUGAAAUGCGUAGAUAUUAGGAGGAACACCAGAGGCGAAGGCGGCGUUCUGGACAUUAACUGACGCUGAGGCUCGAAAGCGUGGGGAGCAAACAGGAUUAGAUACCCUGGUAGAA
RNAcentral lists this ribosomal RNA (449 nucleotides) under uncultured bacterium. RNAcentral describes it as "bacterial SSU rRNA". It matches the Rfam family "Bacterial small subunit ribosomal RNA", at positions 329 to 795 of the family's 1533-position model. The record is from RNAcentral.